This 216-nucleotide ribosomal RNA is filed under the name Glomeromycotina sp. RNAcentral describes it as "partial small subunit ribosomal RNA". The stretch from base 40 to 216 matches the Rfam family "Eukaryotic small subunit ribosomal RNA", at positions 686 to 864 of the family's 1831-position model. The record is from RNAcentral. Lineage: Eukaryota; Fungi; Glomeromycota.
GGGUCAGUAGGUUGGUCGUGCCACCGGUACGUACUGGUCUCACUGAUUCCUCCUUCCUGAAGAACCGUAAUGCCAUUAAUUUGGUGUUGCGGGGAAACAGGACUGUUACUUUGAAAAAAUUAGAGUAUUUAAAGCAAGCUAACGCUUGAAUACAUUAGCAUGGAAUAAUGGAAUAGGACGAUCGAUCCUAUUUUGUUGGUUUCUAGGAUUGACGUA